CCACUGAGUAAUUAAAGGGCCGCGGUAAUUUGACCGUGCGAAGGUAGCAUAAUCAAUAGUCUUUUAAUUGAAGGCUGGAAUGAAAGGCUGGACAAGAAGCUAACUGUCUUUAGGGUAUUUAUUGAAUUUUACUUUUGAGUGAGAAGGCUUAAAUUGUUUAAAGGGACGAUAAGACCCUAUAAAACUUUAUAAAUGUAAAUUAAAUCUUAAAUUGUGACGUUAAAGGGAUUAAGUUCUAUUUUAAUAUGUUGGGGCGACAGGAAUAUAAAUUUAACUGUUCUUGAGGUUAAAUAAUUAUUUUUAGGUUUUAUUGAUCCUUUAUUAAGGAUUAUAAGAUGAAGUUACUUUAGGGAUAACAGCGUAAUUUUUUCUGAGAGUUCUUAUCGACGAAAGUAGUUGCGACCUCGAUGUUGAAUUAAGAUUUCUUUAGUGUGUAGCAGCAUUAGGAGUAGGUCUGUUCGACCUUUAAAAUCUUA
This 476-nucleotide ribosomal RNA is filed under the name Bathypalaemonetes brevirostris. RNAcentral's name for it is "partial 16S ribosomal RNA". It matches the Rfam family "Bacterial large subunit ribosomal RNA", at positions 1863 to 2598 of the family's 2925-position model. The record is from RNAcentral. Lineage: Eukaryota; Metazoa; Arthropoda; Malacostraca; Decapoda; Bathypalaemonellidae.